UAUCCGAGAGUAAUUCUGCCUCUCAUCACCUUAUUUCCACUGAUGAGGACAGGUGGUUUCGGGAGC
Molecule: unclassified non-coding RNA, 66 nt
Organism: Fukomys damarensis (Damara mole-rat)
Lineage: Eukaryota; Metazoa; Chordata; Mammalia; Rodentia; Bathyergidae
Source: Ensembl